This is a non-coding RNA of Colossoma macropomum (tambaqui), 378 nucleotides long. The record is from the annotation of a RefSeq genome assembly. NCBI's taxonomy places the organism in Eukaryota, Metazoa, Chordata, Actinopteri, Characiformes, Serrasalmidae.
AUGACUUUAAUCCCCAUCUUCAUCUGGACACUGAUCUUCUGGACUCAAGGUCAGGUGACUGUAACUCAGACUCCUGCAGUGAAAUCUGCUCUUCCAGGAGACACAGUCACCAUCAGCUGUAGGAUCAGCACUGCAGUGUAUUACUCCAGCUCAUAUGGCCACUAUUUACACUGGUAUCAGCAAAAACCUGGAGAAGCUCCUAAACUCCUGAUUAUACUUGCGAAUCAGCUUCAGUCUGGUUUUCCAGCUCGUUUCAGUGGCAGCGGCUCUGGAUCUGACUUCACUCUGACCAUCAGUGGAGUCCAGCCUGAAGAUGAUGGAGAUUAUUUCUGUCAGAGUUACCAUUAUAUCAGCAGUAACAAUCUGUUCACACAGUGA